This 253-nucleotide ribosomal RNA is filed under the name uncultured bacterium. Its description in RNAcentral is "partial 16S ribosomal RNA". It matches the Rfam family "Bacterial small subunit ribosomal RNA", at positions 524 to 776 of the family's 1533-position model. The record is from RNAcentral.
UACAGAGGAUGCAAGCGUUAUCCGGAAUGAUUGGGCGUAAAGCGUCUGUAGGUGGCUUUUUAAGUCCGCCGUCAAAUCCCAGGGCUCAACUCUGGACAGGCGGUGGAAACUACCAAGCUGGAGUACGGUAGGGGCAGAGGGAAUUUCCGGUGGAGCGGUGAAAUGCGUAGAUAUUGCUCGGAAGGCCAACGGCGAAGGCAGGUUACUGGUGCGCAACUGACACUGAGGCACGAAAGCGUGGGGAGCAAACAGG